RNAcentral lists this transfer RNA (88 nucleotides) under Candidatus Mycoplasma haematominutum 'Birmingham 1'. RNAcentral's name for it is "Candidatus Mycoplasma haemominutum 'Birmingham 1' tRNA-Ser-GCT". It matches the Rfam family "tRNA". Rfam says of the family: Transfer RNA (tRNA) molecules are approximately 80 nucleotides in length. The record is from RNAcentral. Lineage: Bacteria; Bacillati; Mycoplasmatota; Mollicutes; Mycoplasmatales; Mycoplasmataceae.
GGAGACUUACCCAAGUGGUUAAGGGGGCAUCCUGCUAAGAUGCUAGGCGGCCAAAAGCUGCGCGAGGGUUCGAAUCCCUCAGUUUCCG